Molecule: long non-coding RNA, 849 nt
Filed under: Cyanistes caeruleus (blue tit)
Lineage: Eukaryota; Metazoa; Chordata; Aves; Passeriformes; Paridae
Description: lncRNA (ENSCCEG00000003539.1)
Source: RNAcentral
CUAAGGAGAGUUUGUCUGCAUAACUUCAGGACUCUGUGCAAACUCAAGCACCUGACAGUAUAAGAAUAAAUAUCUUAUUUUUCAUUCACCUAUUUUUCAUUUCACUCACUUAUUUUAAGCUCCUCUUCACAAUUUUCCACCUAAAGCAUAAUUCCAACCAUGACUAACACGAAGUCAUUUUUGUUGCCUGCAUAUGUUGCAUGCAUGUGAGGAGUUUUUAGUCAUUCAUAGUAUUGGUUUGAUUUGAAUUAAAUCUUUCUGAAUGUGCCUAUUCAAGUAACCUUUUGCUUCCAAUUCUUGAAAGAAAUAACUUUCAUGUCACCAGGCACAGCCUCCCAGAAUGAAAACCUGGGCACAAAAGGAUGGAUGAUGGGAUGCAAAGGGAAGAAAGGAAGGGGAAGGCUUGGUGUCUCUGAAAGGAGAAGAGCAGAAAUAUGGAAAGAAUUCAAAGAGAAGGCAGUAAAAACCCCACCAGUUCAACACAAACAUCUUCUUCGCUUUCUAAAAUCCGUGGGCUGAGGUGUUCCACCUGCCAGGUGGAAACACAGACCAGAAAAAUCACAGCAAGUUCCUGGAAAGUAGGAACAGAGCAGGAGCAGGCCCAAGAGGAGGUGUCACACCUGCCAAGUCACCCAGCCAGGAGCAAACUUGGUUUUGGACUCCCAGAAAGGUGUGUGAAAGAGUCUUAAAAAUCACAAAAUAAGGCAAUGUGAUGUCUCUGGGACCUGCCCACGCACUGAGCUUUGACACUUACCUUGAAGUAUUUUAGUGUAAGGUGGGUGUAAGGCUUUGGUAUCAUCCCCUUAGUCUUAAGCAGAAAACUAAAGUUUUAAGCAGAGAGCCUUGACA